Molecule: ribosomal RNA, 684 nt
Filed under: Hypericum mutilum
Lineage: Eukaryota; Viridiplantae; Streptophyta; Magnoliopsida; Malpighiales; Hypericaceae
Description: eukaryotic LSU rRNA
Rfam family: 5.8S ribosomal RNA (bases 275-430)
Source: RNAcentral
UGAACCUGCGGAAGGAUCAUUGUCGAAACUUGCAAAAGACCCGUGAACUAGUUAUCAACAUGUGGGGAGUAUUGGGAGAUAUCCCACAGCUCCUUCGUGCCAGUGGUGGGUAAUUGUGUCGUUAUACCGGCAUGAUUGACCAACAUCUGGACAAACUAACCAACCCCGGCGCGGCAUGCGCCAAGGAACUUCGCAAUAAAUGUGGAAACGCUACCGGUCGUUCCGAAAAUCGGAUAAAGCGGCCGUGUUGUGGACCACUUUUUCAUUACAAAACGACUCUCGGCAACGGAUAUCUAGGCUCUUGCAUCGAUGAAGAACGUAGCGAAAUGCGAUACUUGGUGUGAAUUGCAGAAUCCCGUGAACCAUCGAGUCUUUGAACGCAAGUUGCGCCCGAAGCCUCUUGGCCAAGGGCACGUCUGCCUGGGUGUCACACAUCGUCCCCACCGAAACAAAUACUCCUUGUAGGUGUUUGGUAAGAGGAUGGGCGGAUAAUGGUCUCCCGUGCGCGAUUGCUCGCGGUUGGCCUAAAAAUAAGUUCCUGGUGAUAGCAAGCCAUGACCAGCGGUGGUUGAAAGACCCUCGAUGGGUGUCGUGAGAACUUGCAUCGCCUGUUGGGAGAUUCUGACCUUGAUCGUGUUUAAGCAUAUCAAACACUCAUGAAGUGACCCCAGGUCAGGCGGGACU